Molecule: ribosomal RNA, 1521 nt
Filed under: Triticum aestivum (bread wheat)
Lineage: Eukaryota; Viridiplantae; Streptophyta; Magnoliopsida; Poales; Poaceae
Description: partial small subunit ribosomal RNA
Source: RNAcentral
AUGGCGACAAUGGCGGUUAAGGCAUGGGUGGUGGCAAUGAUGCUGGUUGUGCACUGCUUCGACGUAGGGCUCGGAGCUGGAGGCGAUGGCCUGUGCCUGGGCUCGCCCGACUACGGCGACGCGCUGGCCAAGGCCAUCCUCUUCUUCGAGGGGCAGCGGUCGGGCCGGCUGCCGGCUAACCAGAGAGCCAGGUGGCGCAGCAACUCCGCGCUCGCCGACGGCCGACCUGAAAACGUUAACCUGACGGGUGGGUACUACGACGCCGGCGACAACGUCAAGUUCGGGUUCCCGAUGGCCUUCACGGUGACCCUGCUGAGCUGGAGCGCCAUCGAGUACCGCGGCGACGUCGCGGCGGCGGGGCAGCUGGGCAACCUCCGGGCCGCGAUCCACUGGGGCGUCGAUUUCCUGCUCCGCGCACACACAUCUCCCACCACCCUCUAUACCCAGGUGGGGGACGGGAACGCCGACCACGGGUGCUGGGAGCGGCCGGAGGACAUGGACACGCCGAGGACUCUGUACAAGAUCACCGCGGACUCGCCCGGAUCUGAGGCCGCCGGCGAGGCGGCUGCGGCGCUUGCAGCGGCCUACCUAGUGCUCAAGGAAGACGGUGACAAGGCGUUCGCCUCGCGGCUCCUGGCCGCGUCCAAAUCGCUCUUUGAGUUGGCCAAUAAUUACAGGGGAUCCUUCCAGUCGUCCUGCCCCUUCUACUGCUCCUACUCCGGCUUCCAGGAUGAGCUGCUCUGGGCGUCGGCGUGGCUCUACCGGGCGACCAAGGAUGGCAAGUACCUCGACUUCCUUCGCCAGAACCAGGGCUCCAGCAACCCUGUCAACGAGUUCAGCUGGGACAACAAGCAGGUUGGAGCCCAGAUGCUCGCAACACAGGAGUAUUUGAAAGGAAGGAGAGAGCUAGCAAGGUACAAGGCCAACCUGGACUCCUUCGUCUGCGCCCUCAUGCCUGACAGCGGCAAUACGCAGAUACGUACAACUCGUGGAGGGCUUCUCUUCACGCGCGAUUCGGUGAACAUGCAGUACACCACCACGGCGGCCCUCGUGCUCUCCAUCUACUCCAAGGCGCUCCAGUCCUGGGACGUCUCCGACGGAGUCCACUGCAGCGCCGCAAGCUUCUCCCCGGACCAGAUCGCCUCGUUCGCCGCAUCACAGGUCGACUACAUCCUGGGGAGCAACCCGAUGGGCAUGUCGUACAUGGUGGGCUUCGGCGGCGCGUUCCCGCGGCGCAUCCACCACCGCGCGGCGUCCAUCCCCUCCAUCGAGGUCCUCAGCAGGAGGGUCCCCUGCAACGAGGGCUUCUCCUCGUGGCUGCCGACGAGCGACCCCAACCCGAACGUCCAUGUCGGCGCCAUCGUCGGAGGGCCUGACGAGAACGACCAGUUCGGGGACAACAGGGGGGACUCCGCGCACUCCGAGCCGGCGACCUACAUCAACGCCGCCUUUGUGGGUGCCUGUGCUGCUGCCAUGGGGCAGAGUCAGAAACCUGCGUCGCCGACUUUAUCGUCUUACUAG